GUCACAAAGACUGACUGUUCACAACAAGGACUGAAUUUAUUUCGGAUGGCUAAAAAGAACAAGAUUCAUGGGAAAAAGGCGUUGUGGGCAGGGAACUCCAAACAACUAACACCUUGAAAAAGAUGGAUUUUCUACGAAGCGCGUUUCCAUUUUGCUUCAUUAGUCACAUAUACGGCACAGGAGUGGUAAAUGGGUGGAGUGGAUCUUCGCUUUGUUCAACAGAAGAGCACGACGCCUGUCACAGCGGUGAACAGCGCAGCUACGGCGAAACGUUUGACGUGUGUGCGGCAAAGACAUGAGGAGGGCGGAGUAGAAAGGGGGCGUACUUCAAAAGGAUCUGACCAAUACGUACAUCUGUUACAAAGGUAAAUAUGACAUCACCAUUCACAUAUCCGUAGGCUUAGAUAGCUUUGAAUGUGAUUGGUCAAUUUGUAACCAAUCGUAGUCUCUUAUACCUAUAGUGUGUAUCAACGAGUAAUGACAUGCGGGACUAAAUCAAGGUAACCUGCCUCCUAAAACGACAAGAAGAUUGGGUUUAUUGAUUUAUUAUUUGUCCUAAAACCCAAAUUAAGUUUCAAAUUAUAAACUAUAUAUUUUUCAGACAGUAAAGUUAAGAUACAUUUUUUUCGCGAACCAUUUGUUUAUUGUUCUUCAUUUUGAUAGAAGGGAUAGUGGGAAAAUUAAAUGACUUUAUAACAUGUGAGGACCAAGUAGGCCGCGUUUGUUUUUACUUAUCGUUUUACCCGUAUCCAAGAACAUGAAACGUACUUUGAGACGUAUCUCUAGUAUAUACUAAACAUAUCUGCGACUUAUUUUUGAGUGCAGUUUACCUCGUCGCUCAAGAGUUGUUUGUUGACAUUUCCAUUGUCCGUCCUCUUACACCUCAUUUACCAACUUGUUAAAGAUAAUUACCGGUGGCUCAAACAUGAAUACAAUUGAGCUCCACCUAAGUGUAAAAGUAUCGUGGGAACCACUUGAUGGAUUUGUUACAUCAAUGCCAUCUUAUAUAACAAGCAUUUAUCGUGCUGAUGCUUUUUUUUUCGUCUGCAUAAAAUGAGCUAAUAGCAUUGAACGUAAAUACCCUCUCUUAAUUUUUUAAGGAGCAAACAAGAGUAAAUCAUAAGCGUGCAGGACAACUCUUGACCUCAGAUGAAAACUAAGAGUCGUCCUUCAUUGACCUCUGAUAACUUCGUGCUUCUGUUACGGACAGACAUUAACCCAAUUAAAGAUUUUUCAGUUGAAAAAUGAUUGAAGACAUCUGGGUGUCACCAAGACCUUCCAGACAAUUAAACAUUUGACACGGUUUUUGGGUGGCAACACUUAUCUAUUGUAACAAUACCUAUUGGUGAAGCAAAUAUCUUGUGUGUCGUUACAGUAGCUUUACUGUUAUUUUUGUGGAGGUCGUUUGUAUACCGGUAAAACAAAAUAAUGGCCUUCGAUAACUCUACGUUGCCCUUGCAAAUGGUGCCUCUAUGGAGCAAGUGAAGAUGUUAUAUAAGGCUUUCUUUGAUAAUCCGUCAGCUGCAAAAUCGUUAAUUAGUUGGACAAAUGUCAAUUUUUAACCGUGGGAAAACAUGGCGUUAUGUAAGGCUUCCUUCGGUAAUCAUUUAACCAAAAAAUCGGUAAUUGGAUGGACAAAUGUCAAUUGUAAACCGUGGGAAAACAUGACGCAUACAUAUUUGCCUUAUCGGUUAGAUGACCUUUGACGUCAUGAGGUCACCUCAUGUUGUGUUUUAUGCGUGGACAUCUUUGUUCGUAUGGUGAUGUAUGAUUACAGGGUUAAGGUCUUCAACAUGAAGAGGUGAUUAGACGCCUGAAAACUGCGGGUAUAAGUAAUUACCAAGAAUUUAAAUGCUAAAGAUUGGGGUACAGUUAAAAAAUAUUUGAAAAUGAGCUUAAAUGUUCCAGCUCGUUGUCUUUUAAUAGCAUAUUUUAUUUUACUAGCGGAGGUAAUGGAACUGCAGCCAACGCAAAGGUAGUACUUGGGAGAAUAUCUUGCUUAAUUAAGUCGAGUCCAUCCGGUCUCGAAGUAUCGUAGGACGCAAAUUCUCGCCAGCCGAAGAAACAACUUAUAGUCUCAAAACGUACCCUCUACAUUACAACACGGUUUCUGCCGUGCACAAAAAAAAUGACUACCGCCUGUAUACGUACCACACACGUUUUACUUUACGGACGAUAUGAAUAUUGUGACGAUGUGAUUUUUGCAUGUGCCGGAUAAAUGGUAAUUUCCAAGUGAGAAGCGUCACCUAGCAAUCCUUAUUAGAACUGCAUUUUUUUUUACUAUUUUCAGACUUUUUAUCCUUGUGGAUCAAAAGCGUAACCUGGCGGUAAAUUGUGGAACUGCAACGAUUUGUGGUCAAGAAUCGUAAAUCGGAGAUCUUAAUAGAGAAACCUGACUCAUGAUGAAAGACGUAACGAAUGAAUUCUAACUAUCGCUACACGCUUCCCGGUGACGUGAAAUACGUCCUUUCGUUUUUCGUCCUCCUUUUUAAAUGGAAAUUGGCAAAUAUUUUGUAUGAAUAUCUUAAGAAAAUUGACUCUUUCAAACACAAGAAUAGUUUAGAGAUUGUUAGAAAUGUUCCUUGGCAAGUUGAAUUCAGGCUUUGUGACAGUUUGUAGCGACAAGGGUGAAAUGGCAACUCGGGAACUUAAUCCCUCAGCUUUGAAUCAUGUGUCUUUUUGUUAAUUUAGACAUUUAAGUAAAACAACGAAGUGGCGAAAUUUCAACGGUCGCUUUUUGUCUGCCUUUAUAAAGUCAGCAUAGCGCCUGAGAGUCAAGUAUACUAUUAAUACAUCGGUCUUACUAAGAAAAGCAGUUGUUGUUUCAGCGAGCACGUCGAGACAUGGCCAUCCGUUACCACUCCUGAUAUUGUAAACUACUCAGUGUCCUCGCCGAACAAUAUGUAAUAUAUGGUCAAAUGAAAGCUUAAAAGAGUCUGGAAGCUCACAACGAUUUUCCGUCAGGAUGUGUCCACAAUGCCCUAUCUUAGAGGAGAUACAGCAUUCAUUACCAGGCGGGUUGUCCAUUCACAAAGUAUCAGCAAAACAAUAACAAAACCUUUGAUACUGGCCCAGAAGGAUGGGAAUAUCAGGAAGGACAGCUGGUUCAGGAGAAAGAUUUGUUCAUAUAGCAGCUGUUCUGUUCAGAGCUCAGGCAGCUAUUCUUUUCCGAGAGGAGAGAACAGUCGCACAAGAUAAGCGUACUGGUUUUGCCCGCUGCACUGGCGAAAAAAAUGGAAUACUUACCUGCUGAAAACAUCGACUCCACAUCGGCCGAAAGCAAAAAAAAAAAAAUGAAUAAAUAAAAAUAAAAAUUGGACACUACAUUAGAUAUGGGUAGCAUGUCUGGCAAAUCUGCAUCACUUCAAAAAAAGGUUCGUAUUUCAACACUCUCUAAGCAGGAGACUGAAGAGUCCUUUGCUUAUUUUGAACGAAAGUAUCAAACUUUAUUUUGAAAACGACAAAUUUGCUCCUUCAUGAAUACUUGACGUAAACACGGAAAUUAAUAUUUCCCCUGCGGGCGUGAAGUAACCUAAUGCAGAAACGCACUGAUCAUCAGUAAGUAGUAAAGGCACUCGUCGGUCUCGCAGGACCAUGAGUAGUACUAAUUCUACACAAUGCACUUAUUGUUUGUUUUUACGUUUUGAGCGUCUCUGUUCUGAUGCAAGUCUCUGCUUUGCUUCCCCCCGUUUCAGUCCCUCCUUGACUUCCUGUCUCCAAAGAGUUCUAUUUGCUGCAAGUGACUCCCAUGUGUUGAUGCUCAUGUCAAGGGCCUUUAAGUCCCGUUUGAUAACAUCCUUAAAACGUAGGUGGGGACGGCCACGUGUUCUUGUCCCAGUAGCCAGUUCACUGUACAAUAAAUCCUUUGGAAUCCUCCCAUCUGGCAUGCGGCACACA
Branchiostoma floridae (Florida lancelet) is the source of this 3897-nucleotide long non-coding RNA. RefSeq lists it as uncharacterized. The record is from RefSeq and is a predicted model, not a curated record. The transcript has 4 exons. NCBI's taxonomy places the organism in Eukaryota, Metazoa, Chordata, Leptocardii, Amphioxiformes, Branchiostomatidae.